UACAAUACGGAAUGAUAACUCUCAGAGC
This 28-nucleotide small RNA is filed under the name Bombyx mori (domestic silkworm). RNAcentral describes it as "ovarian small RNA-20123". Lineage: Eukaryota; Metazoa; Arthropoda; Insecta; Lepidoptera; Bombycidae. The record is from RNAcentral.